RNAcentral lists this transfer RNA (73 nucleotides) under Neogeoscapheus hirsutus. Its description in RNAcentral is "tRNA-Tyr". The record is from RNAcentral. Lineage: Eukaryota; Metazoa; Arthropoda; Insecta; Blattodea; Blaberidae.
AGUAGAAUGGCUGAGAUANUUUAUAUAGGUGAAGGAUUGUAAAUCUUUUAAGGAGUUUAAAACUCUUCUACUA